UGCGAGUCCAGAGUGGUAAUGCACUCGGCAAACGGCUCAGUAACACGUGGGUAAUCUGCCCUCAGGACAGGGAUAACCCCGGAAAACUGGGGAUAAUAUCUGAUAGGUGGAGAAGUCUGGAACGACUCUCCGCUCAAAUGCUCCGGCGCCUGAGGAUGAGCCUGCGACCGAUUAGGUUGUUGGCGGUGUAACGGACCACCAAGCCUGAGAUCGGUACGGGUGUUGAGAGACAGAGCCCGGAGAUGGGGACUGAGACACGGCCCCAGGCCCUACGGGGCGCAGCAGGCGCGAAAACUCCGCAAUACACGAAAGUGUGACGGGGGAACCCCAAGUGCGCUCACGCAAGUGAGUGCUUUUGUGAAGUGUAAAUAGCUUCGCGAAUAAAAGCGGGGUAAGACCGGUGCCAGCCGCCGCGGUAACACCGGCCGCUUGAGUGGUGAUCACUAUUAUUGGGCCUAAAGCGUCCGUAGCCGGUCUGGUAAGUCCUUGGGCAAAUCCUAUCGCUUAACGAUAGGAAUUCUGAGGAUACUGUCAGACUUGAGGUCGAGAGAGGUCGGAGGUACUUCUGGGGUAGCGGUGAAAUGCUAUAAUCCUAGAGGGACCACCAGUGGCGAAAGCGUCCGACCAGAGCGAGCCUGACGGUAAGGGACGAAAGCCAGGGGAGCGAACGGGAUUAGAUACCCCGGUAGUCCUGGCCGUAAACGCUGUGGGCCUAGGUUGUUGCAUGCUCUACGAGGGCAUGCAGUG
This 747-nucleotide ribosomal RNA is filed under the name uncultured archaeon. RNAcentral describes it as "bacterial SSU rRNA". It matches the Rfam family "Archaeal small subunit ribosomal RNA", at positions 52 to 800 of the family's 1478-position model. The record is from RNAcentral.